AUUGAACGCUGGCGGAAUGCUUACACAUGCAAGUCGAACGGCAGCACGGGGCAACCUGGUGGCGAGUGGCGAACGGGUGAGUAAUAUAUCGGAACGUGCCCAAUCGUGGGGGAUAACGUAGCGAAAGUUACGCUAAUACCGCAUACGAUCUACGGAUGAAAGCGGGGGAUCGCAAGACCUCGCGCGAAUGGAGCGGCCGAUAUCAGAUUAGGUAGUUGGUGGGGUAAAGGCUCACCAAGCCAACGAUCUGUAGCUGGUCUGAGAGGACGACCAGCCACACUGGAACUGAGACACGGUCCAGACUCCUACGGGAGGCAGCAGUGGGGAAUUUUGGACAAUGGGCGCAAGCCUGAUCCAGCCAUUCCGCGUGCAGGAUGAAGGCCUUCGGGUUGUAAACUGCUUUUGUACGGAACGAAACGGUCUGCCCUAAUACGGCAGGCUAAUGACGGUACCGUAAGAAUAAGCACCGGCUAACUACGUG
This 481-nucleotide ribosomal RNA is filed under the name uncultured bacterium. RNAcentral's name for it is "bacterial SSU rRNA". It matches the Rfam family "Bacterial small subunit ribosomal RNA", at positions 30 to 507 of the family's 1533-position model. The record is from RNAcentral.